RNAcentral lists this transfer RNA (58 nucleotides) under Salmo salar (Atlantic salmon). It matches the Rfam family "tRNA", at positions 8 to 63 of the family's 71-position model. Rfam says of the family: Transfer RNA (tRNA) molecules are approximately 80 nucleotides in length. Their secondary structure includes four short double-helical elements and three loops (D, anti-codon, and T loops). The record is from Rfam by way of RNAcentral. Lineage: Eukaryota; Metazoa; Chordata; Actinopteri; Salmoniformes; Salmonidae.
UAGCUCAGUUGGUAGAGCAUGGUGUUUGCAACGCCAGGGAUGUGGGUUUGAUUCCCAC